This is an RNA transcript of Oncorhynchus mykiss (rainbow trout), 4429 nucleotides long. It is a transcript of the gene named serine/threonine-protein phosphatase 2A 56 kDa regulatory subunit gamma isoform, with no coding region annotated. The record is from RefSeq and is a predicted model, not a curated record. NCBI's taxonomy places the organism in Eukaryota, Metazoa, Chordata, Actinopteri, Salmoniformes, Salmonidae.
CGCUGACAUCACUAACUAGCCAGUUCCCUCCAGCAGCACCAGAGAGCUUCAUUUUCUGAUCUGCUUUUGUGUUAAAAUGGAGGCUGGCUCCUUGCCUUAAGUGGAUUGCCUUCCUGGUCGAGUUUAGAUGUUGACAUGCACUAAAAGCUGGAAUCAGGAUGGUUGUGGAUGCACCUAAUUCCAAUGGGCCUUUCCAGACAGUGGCUCUUAUGCACUUCAGAGGCUUCUAUUGUGAAAGGGGAGAGAAUAAGAGCUGUUUCAAGAAGUGGUCAGGCUGAAAUGGAAUGCCAUCCGGUGAAGAUCAUCAAAGACUGUGCUCCGGCAGAGCAGGAGAAGCUGUUUGUGCAGAAGCUGCGCCAAUGUUGCGUGCUCUUUGACUUCCUGUCGGACCCACUAAGUGACCUGAAAUGGAAGGAGGUGAAGCGUGCGGCGCUGAGCGAGAUGGUCGAGUACAUCACCCACAACAGGAACGUCAUCACAGAGCCCGUCUACCCAGAGGUGGUGCACAUGUUUACGGUGAACAUGUUCCGAACGUUGCCUCCGUCAUCCAACCCCACAGGAGCAGAGUUUGACCCGGAGGAGGACGAGCCUACACUUGAGGCUGCUUGGCCACAUCUCCAGCUCGUCUACAAAUUUUUCCUUCGGUUUUUAGAAUCUCCUGACUUUCAACCGAACAUAGCAAAGAAGUACAUCGACCAAAAAUUUGUGAUGCAGCUUUUAGACCUGUUUGACAGUGAGGACCCACGGGAGAGGGACUUCCUCAAAACCACUCUCCACAGGAUCUAUGGGAAAUUCCUGGGACUACGGGCCUACAUCAGAAAACACAUCAAUAAUAUAUUUUAUAGGUUUAUCUAUGAGACUGAGCACCAUAAUGGAAUAGCAGAAUUACUGGAGAUACUCGGAAGUAUAAUCAAUGGGUUUGCCUUACCACUAAAAGAGGAGCACAAGAUUUUCCUGUUAAAGGUCCUGUUGCCUUUGCACAAAGUCAAAUCACUUAGUGUCUACCAUCCACAGCUGGCAUACUGUGUUGUGCAAUUUCUAGAGAAGGACAGCACUCUCACUGAACCAGUGGUAAUGGCCCUUCUCAAAUACUGGCCAAAGACUCACAGCCCCAAAGAGGUGAUGUUCCUCAAUGAGCUGGAGGAGAUUCUGGAUGUCAUUGAGCCGUCUGAGUUCGUCAAAAUCAUGGAGCCACUCUUCAGGCAGCUGGCAAAGUGUGUGUCCAGCCUGCACUUCCAGGUAGCAGAGAGAGCUCUGUACUACUGGAACAAUGAGUACAUCAUGAGUCUAAUCAGUGACAAUGCAGCCAAAAUCCUGCCCAUCAUGUUCCCGGCACUCUACCGUAACUCCAAGACCCACUGGAACAAGACCAUCCAUGGCCUCAUCUACAACGCUCUCAAGCUCUUCAUGGAGAUGAACCAGAAGCUGUUUGAUGACUGCACACAGCAGUUCAGAGCAGAGAAAAAUAAUGGUCCUCGACGGUAAAAACAACACAAUGAUUAAAAGAGAAAAGGCCAAGUCAAAAGAGAGGGAAGAGGCCUGGCUCAAGAUUGAGAACCUUGCCAAAUCCAAUCCACAUGUAGUGUGGUAAUGUUGAUAUUGGAUCAGAGUCCUAGUGAAAGUUCACAGGUUAAAAAAGACAGUAACGGAAGAAUCCACUCAGUUACAACAGAGAGACCAGAGAAAAGACCGUCCUCUGGUGCAUCGGAUCUCCCUCAGGACAUCUACACCGCAAAAGCCUUGGAGACCCAUCGUCGCGCCGAUGACAUGAUCACCACCCACAAUGGGCUCUAGGUCUGCCCCUCCUCUCUCUUCUCUUCUGUCCAGUCCCCUAAAGGAGUACCCUCGCCCCUUCACACCCCACCUCCCAACCCACACAGCACAUUCAGAAUACUGGCCCGGUUUCCCUAUCUCGCCAGUACACUGCCCCACCUCCCUCGGAUUUCUGCUUUCUCUGGUGUUUAUUUUGGGGGGAGGGUUGGGGCCGCAACUCUUUUAGCUGUCGGUCCUGCGGAGUCAUUGUUUUCCUUAUUGUUUCCGCUGAAUUGUGCAUAAAACAGUAUAUCGGCUCAUCCCUCCCUGCUCUUAUUGUAUGAAUGAAAAUGGGGACGUUUCGUUCCACCUGCGACAUGACAAGCUCAUGUGAAAUGCACAACAAACGUAGAGAGCAGAAACUGAAUGAGGGAGACUUCUUUUCUUCUUCUGUCUUCUGUUUUCUGUCAAGGGGAAACAACCAAAAACAGAUGGUUAGAUGGAGGGGUAGGACUGUUGGAUCGACUUUCCUGACUUUAUUUUUUAUCCCAGGGACAUCUGCCAGUGCCAUGACGGAUGUUUUGACAAUUGUUUUUAAUAAGCUGAAGAGCAACAGGGCUGUCUAAAGUGACUGAUCCAUCUGUUCUGAUGAAGUCACAUUGUGACAGGGAUUGAGAGAGGGAGGAAGUGAUGUUCUCUGUGGACACUAGACUCUUUACACUCUACAGUUUGUGCCAUAUAAAAGUUGUAUUUUGUCUUAUUUCCUUUCUCAUACCCAUCUGUUGAAUUCCAUCUGCAAUAUGUGAGCUGGAAAUUUCACAGUGAAAUUAUUGACAGAAAUAUUGACAGUUCAAACAAUGGUUUAUUUCAUAUAGAGAAACACAUUGGGUGGUUGUUAGUUUCAACCCUGUUUGUCAUACUCAAAGCCCCUCUUAGACAUUUCAACAUCUGUAGCCAGUUUUUACUGGAAUCACAAUAUGACACCUUACCUGGGGGUAUCACAUAAUGAGUAGUUAUUUGGGAUGCAAGAUGAUUUGUAGAUCAGUGUUUCUGCACAGCCUGACUGCAAUCUAGUCCAUCUUAAAUGCAUACCCCACUGGGCACACACUGGUUGAAUCAAUGUUUCCAUGUAAUUUCAAUGAAAUUAAGUUGAACCAAUGUGGAAUAGACAUUGAGUUGAUGAUCCAGGCUUCAGCAGUCCUGGAGCUACUUGCUAGUCAAGCAUUGACCUCCAUUCGUUUCAGAGGUACCCAUGAUAUCACUGGUCGUGUUCAUCUCGCACCCCCCCCCCCCCCCCCCCCCAGCAUGCUCACUAUUCCCCCUGUCGUUUUUUAAAUUUUUACCACCACCCUCUUAUCCAGAUGUGCUUCUCUGUGGAGCUGAAUGGACUAAGCAAAGAACAAAACAAAUUAUUCACUUCCAUAAGACAUCCUUUUCGAAGACAUCGGAGUGCUUUUUAUCAUGAGGAGAAAUAUGAAAGAAUUUUUGGCCCCAAUGAGGAGAAUAGCAACACUGUUUGGAUGGGAAAACCAUUUCAUGUGACGGUUAAAUGGCCAUAUGUGUCCAUUGCCAAUAAUAUAUAGUAGAGACCGAGCGGUGAUUCCAGACCUGAAUAACUCUUGGAAGUAGAUGAAUCGUGUAGUUGUUAAGAAAAAGUAUAUUGAACUACCUAAAAAGCACUUCCUGUAAACUUGAAAGAUGUGACAUGUUUGUGUAUAUUCAAAUGAAGCUCUGUAUCCCGUUGAGUAUAUAUGUACAGUCUAUUCUGCUUUCUCAAGUCAGGAAGCUGUCAAAUCCAGGAGUGUUUUGGACAUUAACAUUUACAAGUGGAUCGUCUCUUGAACCAUUGUUUGAACUUUUGUGUUGUCCCUGGUAACUUAUAGCCUGGAUGCUAGUUUUAGCAUUGUUGCUGCCAAUGGAAAUGGCCAAUGCUAAAACAGACAGAUCGAGGCUUGGCAACUGUAUUAUUCAUAUUUGCUUGAAUGGAAAAGGUGUACAUUUAUACAAACAAUGUUAAACAUGUAUUUUUUUUCCCCUGGAAGAAUGGCACUCACCAAAACAAUUUCUAUCCUAAAAUAAUAUAUUUGCUUUUUAUUUAACGGUAUUGGUUUAAGAUAUUUUAUCAGUUUGCAUUUUGUUUUUGAUCGAACUGUCGUUUUUGUGUAGACCCAUCGAUAAAUGACUCGUAAAACAAGUUAGACGGGGAAAAAAAUGUUGGAGACUGUUUUUCUAAAUUCUUUGCUUGACCGCAGCAUCUUUGCAGGAUUUUAGUUGAACAUGUACUUUACAAAAUAUAAUAACUUGACAAGUGUCCUUUUGUAUGUGACCUGUACUAUAUGGCUUCAUUUAAUAUUGUGUACAUAUGAUUUACUUUGUUUUAUGUAGCGUUAUAGAUCUAGAUUUUGUACAAAAUGGUCCUCUGUACAGAAUAAAACAUCAAUAGCAAUGACAAGAAGUCAAUGUGGCACAUACAUUCUUUUCCUCUUUCACUUGUAACUUUGCAUUAUUAAAUAUGUCAUAAUUGUAUCUGUUUGAACUCUUCAAGGUUUGUUCCCUAUUCAAAAUGUCUUUGACCAGAUUUCAGUCCAUAGCCUUUGAGCUUUUCUCACAGUUUCAAGUGGUGUACAUCUAUAUUGAAUGAAUAAAGAGAAUAUUUGAUUUUAUAUUUUCAACCAUA